GGCUUGUCUUUGCCUUGUGAAACCGACGUCUGACGUCACACCCGGGUUGUCCACAGGAGCCGCCCCACAGGUGUCAAUCACUUAUCCGGGGAUAUUUUUAGAUCAAUAUCAGGUCAUUGAUAUAUCUCUUAAAGAGCACAAGGUUUGCACCAUAGCUAUCCGAUCCCAGAAACUCCUCUUCCCAGAGCCCAUAAUAGGUUCGCGUUAUUUUGAGGAGGUGUUUUCAUCCACUUUAAAAGGGUUAUAAUAUAAUGUCUUCUCUAAAACAAUCUUUGAUUUCAGAAGUUUAUUCACAUUAAGGAAUUGAACCUGACAUUCAAACAAAAAGGCCAUAUAUAGUUAAAAUCAUAGUGAAGUGGUUAACAUAAUGAAUCAAGCUUAUGAAUUUCCUUUGUCACUAGGAAUAGUUGCAUGAUGCAUUCACUUUACAUACUCAUGUAAAAAACAGAUUGCUUUGUGUCUAGCCUAGUAGCUCUAGUAUCAUAAAAGAGGUUAAGUGCCAAAUGUGUUUAAAAGAAAGUCUUUUAUUCUUUUUCUUUUAAAGCAUUGCCAGUUCAGCAUACAAAUGAGUGAAUGCAGAGAACAGUUCUUUGAGUGUCCUUGGAAAACUCUUUAAUAGUCUUUUUUCUGAAAAAAAUAUAAUUUCCUCUUAAGAAAUAAAAUCCCCUCUUUAAGACA
Long non-coding RNA from Bombina bombina (fire-bellied toad), 678 nucleotides. RefSeq lists it as uncharacterized. The record is from RefSeq and is a predicted model, not a curated record. The transcript is spliced from 2 exons. Lineage: Eukaryota; Metazoa; Chordata; Amphibia; Anura; Bombinatoridae.